UAGGGAAUCUUCCACAAUGGACGCAAGUCUGAUGGAGCAACGCCGCGUGAGUGAAGAAGGUUUUCGGACCGUAAAGCUCUGUUGUUGGUGAAGAAGGAUAGAGGUAGUAACUGGCCUUUAUUUGACGGUAAUCAACCAGAAAGUCACGGCUAACUACGUGCCAGCAGCCGCGGUAAUACGUAGGUGGCAAGCGUUGUCCGGAUUUAUUGGGCGUAAAGCGAGCGCAGGCGGAAGAAUAAGUCUGAUGUGAAAGCCCUCGGCUUAACCGAGGAAUUGCAUCGGAAACUGUUUUCUUGAGUGCAGAAGAGGAGAGUAGAACUCCAUGUGUAGCGGUGGAAUGCGUAGAUAUAUGGAAGAAUACCAGUGGCGAAGGCGGCUCUCUGGUCUGCAACUGACGCUGAGGCUCGAAAGCAUGGGUAGCGAACAGGAUUAGAUACCCUGGUAGUCCAUGCCGU
This 455-nucleotide ribosomal RNA is filed under the name uncultured bacterium. Its description in RNAcentral is "partial 16S ribosomal RNA". It matches the Rfam family "Bacterial small subunit ribosomal RNA", at positions 355 to 803 of the family's 1533-position model. The record is from RNAcentral.